This 282-nucleotide ribosomal RNA is filed under the name uncultured Ascomycota. RNAcentral describes it as "partial 18S ribosomal RNA". It matches the Rfam family "Eukaryotic small subunit ribosomal RNA", at positions 548 to 836 of the family's 1831-position model. The record is from RNAcentral. Lineage: Eukaryota; Fungi; Ascomycota.
UUGGAGGGCAAGUCUGGUGCCAGCAGCCGCGGUAAUUCCAGCUCCAAUAGCGUAUAUUAAAGUUGUUGCAGUUAAAAAGCUCGUAGUUGAACCUUGGGCCUGGCUGGCCGGUCCGCCUCACCGCGUGUACUGGUCCGGCCGGGCCUUUCCUUCUGGGGAACCUCAUGCCCUUCACUGGGCGUGUUGGGGAACCAGGACUUUUACUUUGAAAAAAUUAGAGUGUUCAAAGCAGGCCUUUGCUCGAAUACAUUAGCAUGGAAUAAUAGAAUAGGACGUGUGGUU